CCUUCUCCACACGUCGCGUCUCUGCCUCCCUCCCUUGCUUCUGCCCUUUUCCACAUGAGAUGAGCGGCUUGCAUCCAAGUGUGCGCGUGUUUCGGUAUUUUCGUUGUUUUUUGUCGCUGUCGUGUGUGUGUGUGUGUGUGUGUGUGUGUGCAGGGGGAGGGGGAGGGGAGUGGAUAGAAAGGGUGCAUGAGUAUGGCAGACAUAAGACACAGUGCCCGUAGCCCUUUACGAGUCACACGCAUCAAGGGCUUGAAAUCAGCAUAUCGAUUUCCCUUUCUUUGCUUUUGUCCUCGAUUAUCUUGCCGUUUCCACUAUCGCUGCCCCCUCCCCCUCCAAGAAAUAUAUAGCUGGUGUGUGCACCCCCUUGUGUGCUGGACUGGAUGAAGGCCCUUCCCUGUCUCUCACCCUCUCUCGCCCUGGUUCUUGAUCGUCUCCCCUUCCCCUUCCCCUCGUCCUUCUCCUUCUUCGGCUUGAGUCGGUGUGUGUUGGCCGAUGACGUUGGUGUUGUGCGGUGCGCUUCUGCACUUCGUUCAUGUGUGUUGGUGUUCAGGGGAAGGGGUGGCCGAGGUGCUUUAUGUUGUUUUUUUGUGGUUGAGUGGACGAUGGCGGUCACCCGUUGGUGCUGAGGACGGAAAGCUCAAAGAGAAAAUGGGCUUCGUGGCACGCGUUGUGACCCUCGCUCAGGCAGAAGGGGGAGGGAGGUCAUAAACAAAACAGCAACCCCACUGACGCCACCGCUCUCUCUCUCUCUCACUCUCAUGCGACGAAGGUGGGCCUCAAAAGGGGUGUGCGAAGAUGUGUGCGCUUGUCGUUACGACAUGUUCACGUUCAGUGCCCAUCACCUAGCGCAAUGUCUUGCGUCUCACUAUGUAACCGGAGUGCGCAGUAAACAAGACGCAAUAAAAGUGCUGGUGUGAGUUGUUCGCCGUCAUGACAUCACCCGGUUACUAAAAAAGCGGGGCUGCGCCUCCGCCCACGACCCUCUCUCCCUCCAUCCACCUUCGUCUAUUGCUCUCGUCCAUCGCCUGUGUUGUUUUUCCCACCUUCUACGUGAACAAAG
This 1060-nucleotide unclassified non-coding RNA is filed under the name Leishmania donovani. Its description in RNAcentral is "gene:unknown". The record is from RNAcentral. Lineage: Eukaryota; Euglenozoa; Kinetoplastea; Trypanosomatida; Trypanosomatidae.